CGGGACGGGUGAGUAAUGUCUGGGAAACUGCCCGAUGGAGGGGAUAACUACUGGAAACGGUAGCUAAUACCGCAUAACGUCGCAAGACCAAAGAGGGGGACCUUAGGGCCUCUUGCCAUCGGAUGUGCCCAGAUGGGAUUAGCUAGUAGGUGGGGUAAUGGCUCACCUAGGCGACGAUCCCUAGCUGGUCUGAGAGGAUGACCAGCCACACUGGAACUGAGACACGGUCCAG
Molecule: ribosomal RNA, 232 nt
Filed under: uncultured bacterium
Lineage: Bacteria
Description: partial 16S ribosomal RNA
Rfam family: Bacterial small subunit ribosomal RNA
Source: RNAcentral